ACAACAUGCGGACCGUCGGUCUACCGAGCAAUAUCACCCGCUCGGUGGAAGAUCUUCCCUUUGUCGU
RNAcentral lists this microRNA precursor (67 nucleotides) under Bombyx mori (domestic silkworm). RNAcentral's name for it is "mir-2774 microRNA precursor family". It matches the Rfam family "mir-2774 microRNA precursor family". Lineage: Eukaryota; Metazoa; Arthropoda; Insecta; Lepidoptera; Bombycidae. The record is from Rfam by way of RNAcentral.